This 334-nucleotide unclassified non-coding RNA is filed under the name Hevea brasiliensis (rubber tree). Lineage: Eukaryota; Viridiplantae; Streptophyta; Magnoliopsida; Malpighiales; Euphorbiaceae. The record is from RNAcentral.
UUCAAAAAAACUAUUCUUUGUAUAUAUAUAUAUAUAUUCUUGGACUAUUUUUUGGUAGAAUAAGAUUGGAGAUUCACUGAAAUUACAAAACUAAUAAUGCAUCACCAUUCACCUCUGACUUCAACUGCUAAUAACUCCGUAGAAUGAUAAAUUAAGAUACACAACAAAAAGCAUGGAUUCAGAACAUGAAAACUUAUAAUGUUAUGUAUGCCACUGAUGUAAAAAUGAAUGGUGUCAGACAACAUAGCCAGUUGUUACCCAAAUGAAGAGACAAGAUACGUACACAAUUUUUCCUUUCCUCAAAAAUGGUAUAUUUCCACUCAGAAAAUUGCCA